UAUAUAUAUAUAUAUAUAUAUAUAUAUAUAUAUAUAUAUAUAUAUGUAUACAGGUAUACGUAUCUGAGAGAGAAAAAGAGAGAGAGAAAGAGAGACAGACAGACAGAAAAAGGUUGGUUGGUACUCCGCGUAUUUCAUAGGAGACUGCACAGAACCCAUCAAUUUUCUCUAAGUCCAUUAACUUUCUACAGGCAUUACCGUCUGCCGUAGACUUUCAUCCAUGGACGAAUAAUAACCGAUAUUCUCAUAUCGGAAUUCUCUUUCCCCGUUUAUUUUUAUUCUUUUUCUUUUUAAAAAAUUUUUUUCAUUCCGUUUCGAUAAUUUUUCUUUCUUUCUCGAUGUUCAAUUCGUAUCAAAGUUCUCGGACAUAGUAGUUGCAUGUUUGUUUUUAUUAUUGCUUCUCGUUCACAAGGAGGGAUAGAAUAAACUGCGGGAUGCGUUCGCUCGAUUUCCCUAUUUUUCUUCAUAGUUCUCGAUGGGUGUACAGGACGAGGAUAGUACGAAAGCGAGUUGUUUUCCGUGCAGGCACAUCCUAAUCAAAUCUGCUUUUAUUGUCGCUCUAUUCUGUUCGUUUUUCAAACUACGAUAAAAGAUCUCUCGGCCGGUUUUGCAUGUAUUCUAUGUAUCGUAGAUACUCUUUUUUUCAUUUCGUGAAUGCUCUCUCCCUCAUUCCUUCCCUUACCUUUUUCCAUUGGUUUGGAAAUUAAAACUUCUUUGUUUUUUCCCUCUUUUUCCUUCUUUCUUUUUUUCUUUCCUUUUUGUUUUUUAUUUUUUGUUUUUUUUUUUUGAAACAUUUACGACGCUAGGAACCACGAGAAAUUAGAAAAGAGGAUUAAAGUGUCGGUGGAUGAGCAAGUAUUUUUUAUCCCUGACAAAUACAAGGUGACGAUUUAACAGGGAGAAAAAGAGAGUAUGUAUCAUUAUUUCAUUCAACUUUCUGUUUCUCUUUCUCUUUCUCUGUUUUUCUCUUUUUCUCGAAAUUUCAAUUUUUUAUGAAACAUUUUUUAUUCUGCAAUAUCUCGCGAUGCAAGAAAUAAUAAUAGAAAUUUCGUUAAGUUAACCGUGCAAAGGAAUAGAGCAGUCUACGUAAUAGGACGUUAGCAUGAUCAUGCUUAUAGUCGAUUCAUUUUCAAGACUGUAGCAGCGUACUUUAGCACUUGUUCGUGGAGAAAUUUUCGAGAAAGGGAGGGAAAAGUGGUCUUACGAAACAGGCUCAAAGUGUCUUCAAAUUUCACUUGCAUUCUCUCUUGGGCCAUGGUGAGACUUCUUAAGUAUGGGAGAGGGAGUGGAGGAACUCUUCGCGUAGGGGCAAUGCCGGAAUUGAAUUUCAGAGGUACCUAAUCGCCAGCAGUUUGUUCAGGCAGCGAUAGGCGUGACUAUUAUUUCAGCAAUUACGAGGCUUCUCGCUUUGCCCUUAACGAACACCUUCUCUUAAGUCCUUCGUCUUUCUUCUUCUCCUUCUUCUUAUUCGUCUUUUCAUUAUCUUCUUCACCUGUAUGAUGAAAGUGAAAAAGAAAAAGUAGUAACUGAAAUUACUCAAAGACUUUAUCUUUGAGUCUUUCUUUCUCUCUUUUUCUUCCCUUUUACUUUAUUUCUUUCUCUCUUUCCUUUUGCUUUUUUUCUCUUUCUCUUGCUCUCUCUUUCUCUUUUUUCUGUCACUACGUAUCGUUCUCACGUUUGGAUGACAAUGCAUUACGAAUUCAAUGGACGAUCAUAAUGAAGUCACUUCCACUUGUUCUCCUUUCUCAAAGAAAUUUUUAUAGAAAAAGGUAGAUACAUAGAUACAUAGAUAAAUAGACAGGCAGAUAGAUAGAUAGAUAAAUAGAUAGAUAGAGAAUGAUCGUCAAUUACAAGCGUCCAAAUUUGCGAAAUUAAAUUAUAAUUCAUUUUCAUUCGUCCGUUCCAAUUUCCAAGCUAGUGCGAUGUACAGUGAAUUCGUAAAAAAAAAGAAAAUGUCCUUGCUUAUGAUGUUAACGAAAGAACUUCGAACUCUCCUUAAAAGUUUUUCCGUUCGUCGCGUCUUAACGUCCAACUCGUUGUUAAGAGAAAAUUUGUUAGAAACGUGCCCGAUUCACAGAUCCCGUCCUCUUUCUUUUCCUCUAGCUUCUUCACCGUUAAAACGAAAUGAUUUCACCCUUCGGAGUUAAUCGUCGGAAAAUGUGAAAUAUGACAAACGAUGUUAAGGUGGAAUAGCACUCGUCUUCCGAUUUAAUAAACGGCCGUUGCUCCAGACAAAUUACAACCGCAAUUUCGUGGCUAGUAGCGUACACCACAAUUAAAUUAUUGUUGUAAUUUCCAGGACAGUCAUCUGCAAGCGUGCUCGAGCGUCCGUAACGUCUGUGAACACCGUCGCAGCGAUGUCUCAAUUUAAAUAGUUUCUCUCUCUCUCUCUUUUUCUCUCUGUCUUUCUCUUACCCUGAUAAAUUCUCAAUCAUGUGGCAUAUGUACAUGUAUACACGUAUACGUAGUAUUACAAGUUUCUCCAAAAUUUCAAUGGAAGGUUAGAUGUUCGUUGAGCGAGUAGAAAGAACGGUAUCACAUAAGCAACGUGCAUAAAGUAGGCUUGGAAUUUCGUUAAAGCCAUCCAGAGCGUGCUCCGGUCUCUCGAAAUGGGCGUCGUUCUGGCGAUUUCAUAUAUAGGACAGUCGUGUAUUACACACAACUUAGACGUAGUAUAUACUAUAUAUACAUAUGUGUGUGUGUGUAUAUGUAUAUAUAGAUAUAGAUAUAUAGUAUAGAUAUACAUAGGUUGAGAGCAUAGGAGGAUGGAGAACGAGUGGUCGGAGGAUCGAGCCAGCUGGUUCUAGGAUUGGCAGUACUCCAAGAGAGCAAAAAUCGUCGAUGCCUAUAUAUAUACACACACCUACACACGUAUAUAUCUUUCUGUCUUUCUGGAAAUCAGUUAUUUUUAGAAAGAAAAAGAAAACGGAAGAGAUAGCUUGUUAAAGGAUAUUGGUUUUAGUUGCGUUUUCUAUGUUGAUUCAAAGUGGAUACAUUAUAAAGUCAAAGAAUGUUCGAUAAAGAAGGAAGAAAGGGAGGAAGGAAGGAAGGAAGGAAGGAAGAAAGGAAGGAAGGAAGGUAGGAAGGAAGGAAGGAAGGAAGGAAGGAAGGAAGGAAGGAAGGAAGGAAGGAAGGAAGGAAGAUAUGUCUCACCUGUUCGACCGCCUUGAAGACUCGGAUGAGAUUCAGUCCAGCGAGUUUCUGGAUAUCUCUCUCUGACCACCCGCGCACUAACAAUUCCGCGAAUAACUCUGGGUAUUUGCUCACGUCUUCGAGACCUGCCGGUGUCCUGAAACAGACAGUUUGAAAUUGGCUUAGAUGAGAUCGGCUAAAGUUGUUAUAUACUUUUAAUGAAGCUCCAUUCAAAUGAUAUUUUGAUGACUUUGGAGAAUAUGAGAAUGUUUUUUUGGGAAAAAAAUCGAAAUAAAAGAAAAAGAUAAUUCGGA
Vespula vulgaris is the source of this 3446-nucleotide long non-coding RNA. RefSeq lists it as uncharacterized. The transcript is spliced from 2 exons. The record is from RefSeq and is a predicted model, not a curated record. Lineage: Eukaryota; Metazoa; Arthropoda; Insecta; Hymenoptera; Vespidae.